RNAcentral lists this ribosomal RNA (465 nucleotides) under uncultured bacterium. RNAcentral describes it as "bacterial SSU rRNA". It matches the Rfam family "Bacterial small subunit ribosomal RNA", at positions 338 to 795 of the family's 1533-position model. The record is from RNAcentral.
CCUACGGGUUGCAGCAGUGGGGAAUAUUGCACAAUGGGCGCAAGCCUGAUGCAGCCAUGCCGCGUGUAUGAAGAAGGCCUUAGGGUUGUAAAGUACUUUCAGUUGGGAGGAAGGCGUUGAUGCUAAUAUCAUCAACGAUUGACGUUACCAACGGGAGAAGCACCGGCUAACUCCGUGCCAGCAGCCGCGGUAAUACGGAGGGUGCAAGCGUUAAUCGGAAUUACUGGGCGUAAAGCGCACGCAGGCGGUUGAUUAAGUUAGAUGUGAAAUCCCCGGGCUUAACCUGGGAAUGGCAUCUAAGACUGGUCAGCUAGAGUCUUGUAGAGGGGGGUAGAAUUCCAUGUGUAGCGGUGAAAUGCGUAGAGAUGUGGAGGAAUACCGGUGGCGAAGGCGGCCCCCUGGACAAAGACUGACGCUCAGGUGCGAAAGCGUGGGGAGCAAACAGGAUUAGAUACCCUAGUAGUC